Molecule: small nuclear RNA, 99 nt
Filed under: Dipodomys ordii (Ord's kangaroo rat)
Lineage: Eukaryota; Metazoa; Chordata; Mammalia; Rodentia; Heteromyidae
Source: RNAcentral
GCAUCCUUUGGCAGCAUUCAAAUUACAAUGUUACAGAGAAUGUGUACCUGGCCCCUGCACAAACAUGAUGCACAAGUUCACGAAGUGUUUCAUACAUUU